AAUGAACGCUGGCGGCAGGCCUAACACAUGCAAGUCGAACGGAUCCUUCGGGAUUAGUGGCGGACGGGUGAGUAACGCGUGGGAACAUACCCUUUGGUACGGAAUAGCCUCGGGAAACUGGGAGUAAUACCGUAUGUGGUCGAGAGACGAAAGAUUUAUCGCCAAAGGAUUGGCCCGCGUUGGAUUAGGUAGUUGGUGGGGUAAUGGCCUACCAAGCCGACGAUCCAUAGCUGGUUUGAGAGGAUGAUCAGCCACACUGGGACUGAGACACGGCCCAGACUCCUACGGGAGGCAGCAGUGGGGAAUCUUAGACAAUGGGGGAAACCCUGGUCUAGCCAUGCCGCGUGAUCGAUGAAGGCCUUAGGGUUGUAAAGAUCUUUCAGGUGGGAAGAUAAUGACUGUACCACCAGAAGAAGCCCCGGCUAACUACGUGCCAGCAGCCGCCGUAA
This 449-nucleotide ribosomal RNA is filed under the name uncultured bacterium. Its description in RNAcentral is "partial 16S ribosomal RNA". It matches the Rfam family "Bacterial small subunit ribosomal RNA", at positions 29 to 523 of the family's 1533-position model. The record is from RNAcentral.